CAUUAGAUGACUGAAAACAAGUAAUGGUCUCUUAAACCAUAUUAUAGUAACUUAGUGAUUACUUCUAAUGA
RNAcentral lists this transfer RNA (71 nucleotides) under Dialysis sp. KW-2016. Its description in RNAcentral is "tRNA-Lys". The record is from RNAcentral. Lineage: Eukaryota; Metazoa; Arthropoda; Insecta; Diptera; Xylophagidae.